Molecule: ribosomal RNA, 387 nt
Filed under: Triticum aestivum (bread wheat)
Lineage: Eukaryota; Viridiplantae; Streptophyta; Magnoliopsida; Poales; Poaceae
Description: partial small subunit ribosomal RNA
Source: RNAcentral
AUGCACCCACCUGGUGCUGCUGCUGACCCCUCCACCCUUCUGAAUGUUUUUGGUACUACUGGAAAAUUCAAAUGGGUGAGGAAGAACCGGCUGACGACGGGCAAGGGCAUGGGGUACCUGGAGGCCAAGCACCACCUGCUGCUGAGCUACUGCCAGGGCCUCGUCUACUACCUGCUACUCAAGGCCAAGGGGCUGUCUGUCGAUGGCCACCCUGUUGCGCGCAGCCUUGUCGAGAUCAGGCUGUUUCUUGAGAAGAUUCGCCCAAUAGACAAGAAGAUGGAGUACCAGAUCCAGAAGCUCACCAAUGCCGCAGAUGGUGCGGCAGCCCAGGAUAAGGCGCCAGGCGCCAAGGUCAAUGGGAAGGGCGGGCAACAAGGUGAAGUAUGA